Molecule: transfer RNA, 72 nt
Rfam family: tRNA
About the family: Transfer RNA (tRNA) molecules are approximately 80 nucleotides in length. Their secondary structure includes four short double-helical elements and three loops (D, anti-codon, and T loops).
Source: Rfam
GCCCUUUUAACUCAGUGGUAAAGUAACGCCAUGGUAAGGCGUAAGUCAUCGGUUCUAAUCCGAUAAGGGGCU